AGCUGGUCCUUGCUAAAUAUCCGUGUAUGUACAAGUUUCACAUAUUUAGCACGACUGGCUAG
This 62-nucleotide microRNA precursor is filed under the name Scyliorhinus torazame (cloudy catshark). RNAcentral's name for it is "Sto-Mir-4541_pre stem-loop". Lineage: Eukaryota; Metazoa; Chordata; Chondrichthyes; Carcharhiniformes; Scyliorhinidae. The record is from RNAcentral.